This 304-nucleotide ribosomal RNA is filed under the name uncultured bacterium. Its description in RNAcentral is "partial 16S ribosomal RNA". It matches the Rfam family "Bacterial small subunit ribosomal RNA", at positions 506 to 807 of the family's 1533-position model. The record is from RNAcentral.
CAGCAGUCGCCACGGUAAUACAGAGGGUGCGAGCGUUAAUCGGAUUUACUGGGCGUAAAGCGUGCGUAGGCGGCUUCUUAAGUCGGAUGUGAAAUCCCUUAGCUUAACUUAGGAAUUGCAUUCGAUACUGGGAAGCUAGAGUAUGGGAGAGGAUGGUAGAAUUCCAGGUGUAGCGGUGAAAUGCGUAGAGAUCUGGAGGAAUACCGAUGGCGAAGGCAGCCAUCUGGCCUAAUACUGACGCUGAGGUACGAAAGCAUGGGGAGCAAACAGGAUUAGAUACCCCGGUAGUCCCUGUCUCUUAUAC